This 76-nucleotide transfer RNA is filed under the name Planctomycetota bacterium. RNAcentral's name for it is "tRNA-Trp". It matches the Rfam family "tRNA". Rfam says of the family: Transfer RNA (tRNA) molecules are approximately 80 nucleotides in length. Their secondary structure includes four short double-helical elements and three loops (D, anti-codon, and T loops). The record is from RNAcentral. Lineage: Bacteria; Pseudomonadati; Planctomycetota.
AGGGCAGUAGCUCAACUGGUAGAGCAUCUGAUUCCAAAUCAGAGGGUUGCGGGUUCAAGUCCUGCCUGCCCUGCCA